CUGGCCUCACCUCACUAACUGGACAAAUUCUUUCUUUCCUGCAGUUCAAAUCCCUGAGGGAAGGUAUGUGAUUGCCUCAGCCGAGCACUGGCAUGUCUGUUUAGGAAGAGUCUUUCGUGCAGGCCCCUCUCAUCUGCUGGCAAGCUGGAGACGGCCACCUGGAAGAGGGGGGAGCCAUUCUUAGUUCAGCCAGGACAGGACGGAGCUGCUGAUCCACAACGUGCUGUCCGGGCAACUUCCCUGACUGAGAAACCAGUGAAGAGAUUGAGGCCUCAUAUCUGGUUCAUUUGGAGCAGACCCUCAGUAUUGUGGGAUCUUAGAGCAUAAAGGCAAAGAAAAUCAUGAAAAAAGUUCCCACCAGAUUUUGAAGAACCUCAAUUUCAUCAUCCACAUGAUGGUAAUCAUACCAACCCUAUCAUUCAUCGCCUGACUGCUGUGAGAAUUGAAUGGGAAAAGUCAAGGUAUGGAAGCACCUAAAGAUCCAUAACAGAUGGAUGGAGAAAGAAGAUAAUUUAAAUGGAUGCAAUGAAACAUUACUCAGUCAGAAAAAAAGAAUAAAAUUUACCAAUUGCAACAAUCUGGAUGAACC
Long non-coding RNA from Capra hircus (goat), 589 nucleotides. RefSeq lists it as uncharacterized. NCBI's taxonomy places the organism in Eukaryota, Metazoa, Chordata, Mammalia, Artiodactyla, Bovidae. The transcript has 4 exons. The record is from RefSeq and is a predicted model, not a curated record.